CCCGACUGCUAUUUGGGUGAGAAUAAGCCAUGCAAGUUGAAUGGAAUGCCAAAAUAUUCCAUGGCAAACUGCUCAAUAACACGUGAUCAACUUACCCUAUGGAAAACAAUAACCUCUGGAAACGGAGGAUAAUGGUUUAUAGUUGAAAAGGCUUGGAAAAGUUUUUCAAUAAAAGGGAAUAAUAAAAAUGGUUAUUAUUUUGCCAUAGGAUAGGAUUGCGGUCGAUUAUGGCCGUUGGUGAGGUAAUGGCUCACCAAACCAAUAAUCGAUAGGGGCCGUGAGAGCGGGAGCCCCGAGAUGGGUACUGAGACAACGACCCAGGCCUUACGAGGCGCAGCAGGCGCGAAAACUCCGCAAUACACGAAAGUGUGACGGGGUUACCCAAAGUGCUUAAUAUUUAAGCUGUGGUAAGUGUGUAAUGUACCUUACUAGAAAGGAGAGGGCAAGGCUGGUGCCAGCCGCCGCGGUAAAACCAGCUCUUCAAGUGGUCGGGAUAUUUAUUGGGCUUAAAGUGUCCGUAGCUUGUAUAAUAAGUUCCUGGUAAAAUCUAAUAGAAU
This 557-nucleotide ribosomal RNA is filed under the name uncultured archaeon. RNAcentral describes it as "bacterial SSU rRNA". It matches the Rfam family "Archaeal small subunit ribosomal RNA", at positions 21 to 560 of the family's 1478-position model. The record is from RNAcentral.